RNAcentral lists this ribosomal RNA (329 nucleotides) under uncultured eukaryote. RNAcentral describes it as "partial 18S ribosomal RNA". It matches the Rfam family "Eukaryotic small subunit ribosomal RNA", at positions 1470 to 1796 of the family's 1831-position model. The record is from RNAcentral.
CCCUUAGAUGUCCUGGGCCGCACGCGCGUUACACUGAUGCAUUCAACGAGCUUAUAACCUUGGCCGAGAGGCCUGGGCAAUCUUGUUAACGUGCAUCGUGAUAGGGAUAGAUUAUUGAAAUUAUUAAUCUUGAACGAGGAAUUCCUAGUAAACGCAGAUCAUCAAUCUGCAUUGAUUACGUCCCUGCCCUUUGUACACACCGCCCGUCGCUCCUACCGAUUGAAUGGUCCGGUGAAGCGCUCGGACCGCGGCCUCUUGACGGUUCGCUGUCGAUUGGCUGUGGGAAGUUCGUUAAACCUUAUCAUUUAGAGGAAGGAGAAGUCGUAACA